GUAAAGUUUUAUCCUAGCUUGUUCUUUCAUUUUUAGGUUAAUGGUACAUGUAAAUUUUAAUGUUACAACAUAUUUUGUUAAAACUAAAGGUUAACAAAUGGUCUAAAAGUAGAGGUUUCUUUAAGAAAUAAAUUCUCAGUACCUAGUGCUAAUCAAUAAAUAUACGUUAGAAUUGGUAAUCCUAAUUAUAUAUACCUGGUUAAAAUUUGUGCCAGCAGCCGCGGUUAGACUGAGAGGUAAAAUGAAAGAAAUUUGGUUAAAAACAGUUAUAUUUAUUAAUUUUUUUCUUUUAAAGGACUAUAUUAAUAAAGGGUGAAAUCAGUUUUUUAAUAAAUAGUAAAAUAAAAGUCUUAAUUUUAAUUGAAG
RNAcentral lists this ribosomal RNA (366 nucleotides) under Penaeus monodon (black tiger shrimp). RNAcentral's name for it is "partial 12S ribosomal RNA". Lineage: Eukaryota; Metazoa; Arthropoda; Malacostraca; Decapoda; Penaeidae. The record is from RNAcentral.